CACGGAGGAUGCGAGCGUUAUCCGGAUUUAUUAGGUUUAAAGGGUGCGUAGGCGGAUUUUUAAGUCAGCGGUAAAAUGUCCGGGCUCAACCCGGGCCGGCCGUUGAAACUGGGGAUCUUGAGUGGGCGAGAAGUAUGCGGAAUGCGUGGUGUAGCGGUGAAAUGCAUAGAUAUCACGCAGAACUCCGAUUGCGAAGGCAGCAUACCGGCGCCCGACUGACGCUGAGGCACGAAAGCGUGGGGAUCGAACAGG
Molecule: ribosomal RNA, 252 nt
Filed under: uncultured bacterium
Lineage: Bacteria
Description: partial 16S ribosomal RNA
Rfam family: Bacterial small subunit ribosomal RNA
Source: RNAcentral